GACGAACGCUGGCGGCGUGCUUAACACAUGCAAGUCGAACGGAAAGGCCCCCAUCUUGGUGGGGGUGCUCGAGUGGCGAACGGGUGAGUAACACGUGGGUGAUCUGCCCUGUACUUCGGGAUAAGCUUGGGAAACUGGGUCUAAUACCGGAUAGGACCAUGGUUUAGUGUCUCAUGGUGGAAAGAUUAUUGUUUUGGUGCAGGAUGAGCUCGCGGCCUGUCAGCUUGUUGGUGGGGUAAUGGCCUACCAAGGCGUCGACGGGUAGCCGGCCUGAGAGGGUGGACGGCCACAUUGGGACUGAGAUACGGCCCAGACUCCUACGGGAGGCAGCAGUGGGGAAUAUUGCACAAUGGGCGCAAGCCUGAUGCAGCGACGCCGCGUGGGGGAUGACGGCCUUCGGGUUGUAAACUCCUUUCGUUAGGGACGAAGCCGCACUUUUUUUGGGUGUGGUGACGGUACCUUUGUUAAGAAGCACCGGCUAACUACGUG
Molecule: ribosomal RNA, 489 nt
Filed under: uncultured bacterium
Lineage: Bacteria
Description: partial 16S ribosomal RNA
Rfam family: Bacterial small subunit ribosomal RNA
Source: RNAcentral